This 208-nucleotide long non-coding RNA is filed under the name Solanum tuberosum (potato). RNAcentral's name for it is "long non-coding RNA (STUB_LNC005004)". The record is from RNAcentral. Lineage: Eukaryota; Viridiplantae; Streptophyta; Magnoliopsida; Solanales; Solanaceae.
GCCUAAGAGCAAGUCAAAACUACGAGAAGGGCGCGAGAAGUUUUGUGAAGGUAGAAAGAGAUUUAUUUUGGCAAGACUUAUUUAUUCUGCUUCAGCAGAACUUCUGGAAAUAGUGUUUUGCUUCUUUGAUUUCCAGGAUAUUAGUGACUCUCCAUACUUCAACAAGUACCCAGUAACUGACCUCCUGGUAUUGAGGCAUGCUGCCCAG